AGCCUCUUCAUUUUGUUUCAGAUAAGUUGUAUUAGAGACCCUAUGGCUGACAACACAUACAAAGAUUUGUGGUUAGCAACUGCAAAGGAAAACUCCCAAAUUUGAUCUUCAAGUGAUAAUGUUAAUGCAAUUGCGGGAUGUUUGGCGACUAGGCCAACUUGGUCAACCGGGUCAGGCGCGGUCAAAGCUGUUCAAAUGGUCAACGUGUGUCAAAUUCUGUCAACCUGGUCAAUCGUUGUCACAGAUGGUUGAGCAUGCUCAAUAUUUGACCCUUGGAAGUGUAGCCAUGUUUGGUCAAGAAGGAAUUGUAAUGGAUUUGUUCGAAAUAUUCUUAGAAAUUAGAUUUGGUUUGCUUAUGAUUUGACUUUUUUCUCAAAGAUGUAAUUAAUUUGGAAAUGUAGUUGUCUUACAACAAUUAGAAACCGGUUUUUACUCAUGAGUGAAUGUAUAAUUCAAAAAUUAUAGCUAAGUUUU
Molecule: long non-coding RNA, 474 nt
Organism: Helianthus annuus (common sunflower)
Lineage: Eukaryota; Viridiplantae; Streptophyta; Magnoliopsida; Asterales; Asteraceae
Exons: 3
Source: RefSeq, a predicted model, not a curated record